CGGUAAUACGGAGGGUGCAAGCGUUAAUCGGAAUUACUGGGCGUAAAGCGCACGCAGGCGGUCUGUCAAGUCGGAUGUGAAAUCCCCGGGCUCAACCUGGGAACUGCAUUCGAAACUGGCAGGCUUGAGUCUUGUAGAGGGGGGUAGAAUUCCAGGUGUAGCGGUGAAAUGCGUAGAGAUCUGGAGGAAUACCGGUGGCGAAGGCGGCCCCCUGGACAAAGACUGACGCUCAGGUGCGAAAGCGUGGGGAGCAAACAGGAUUAGAUACCCUGGUAGUCCACGCCGUAAACGAUGUCUACUUGGAGGUUGUGCCCUUGAGGCGUGGCUUCCGGAGCUAACGCGUUAAGUAGACCGCCUGGGGAGUACGGCCGCAAGGUUAAAACUCAAAUGAAUUGACGGGGGCCCGCACAAGCGGUGGAGCAUGUGGUUUAAUUCGAUGCAACGCGAAGAACCUUACCUGGUCUUGACAUCCACGGAAGUUUUCAG
This 486-nucleotide ribosomal RNA is filed under the name Salmonella enterica subsp. enterica serovar Weltevreden. Its description in RNAcentral is "bacterial SSU rRNA". It matches the Rfam family "Bacterial small subunit ribosomal RNA", at positions 518 to 1003 of the family's 1533-position model. Lineage: Bacteria; Pseudomonadati; Pseudomonadota; Gammaproteobacteria; Enterobacterales; Enterobacteriaceae. The record is from RNAcentral.